RNAcentral lists this ribosomal RNA (373 nucleotides) under uncultured organism. Its description in RNAcentral is "partial 16S ribosomal RNA". It matches the Rfam family "Bacterial small subunit ribosomal RNA", at positions 527 to 896 of the family's 1533-position model. The record is from RNAcentral.
GUAGGUGGCAAGCGUUGUCCGGAAUUAUUGGGCGUAAAGCGCGCGCAGGUGGUUCUUUAAGUCUGAUGUGAAAGCCCCCGGCUCAACCGGGGAGGGUCAUUGGAAACUGGGGAACUUGAGUGCAGGAGAGGAAAGUGGAAUUCCACGUGUAGCGGUGAAAUGCGUAGAUAUGUGGAGGAACACCAGUGGCGAAGGCGACUUUCUGGCCUGUAACUGACACUGAGGCGCGAAAGCGUGGGGAGCAAACAGGGAUUAGAUACCCUGGUAGUCCACGCCGUAAACGAUGAGUGCUAAGUGUUGGGGGGGUUUCCCGCCCCUCAGUGCUGCAGCUAACGCAUUAAGCACGCCGCCUGGGGAUACGGUCGCAAGACUG